Long non-coding RNA from Podarcis raffonei (Aeolian wall lizard), 948 nucleotides. RefSeq lists it as uncharacterized. The transcript has 3 exons. The record is from RefSeq and is a predicted model, not a curated record. Lineage: Eukaryota; Metazoa; Chordata; Lepidosauria; Squamata; Lacertidae.
CUUCUUUUAAGCCUAUGUAACCAACAUGAGUUGUUUAGCUUAUUUUGUAGUUGUUGAUAUGUUAACAGUGUUUUAUAGAUUGCAAUUGUUUUGCUGACGAUUUGUUAAUUAUUCUGUAUGAUUUAUGCAGGAUUUGUGAUGUCCUAUCACGCUAUUGUUAUUUAUUGUUUGUAAGUCGCUUUGGGGUUCAUUUGAAAGAAACGUGGCACUGAAACAGGACAAAUCAAUCAAAUAAUAAAGAAGUGGCUUAAUUAGGCCUGUUACUUUAAGGAGCUCCAAGGCUUUUAAGAUCAGGUGUGUAAAUUGGGGUGGGGAGAGAGAGAAAGCAACUCAAGGCUUUGGAAGCCAUUUUGAUUAAGAGCUGCUGAAGAGCUGAAGGAGUGGAUUUCAGGGGAGGCCUGGCCUACCUUGUUUUAAAGGGUCCCAGGGGUGGAGUACUGUACUUACUCAGGCUUCUGUGCCCAGAUAGAUUCUGCUAAUAGGCCAGCACUCGGCGGAAACAGGUAGAAGAAUUUUCAUGUCGUGAUAAAAAGACACCCUUGAAGAAAGAAUAGUGGACCAGGGUUUGUUGAAAGAAUAUACUUAUGUGAAACUGUAAUGCUGCAAUCCUACACAAAGAGGUAAGCCCUGUUGAGCACAGUGGGAAUAAUUUCUUAGAAAACUUUUUACAGUUUUCAUGUGCAAGAAACCUCUAAUUAUCUGCAUUCCACAAUUGUGUAAAACUCCAAUAUUUGGAUGUCUAUCCAGAUAUGGGGUUUCUAUCUCAAUUUUGUUGCAAAAGUCUGCCUCUAAUAUACUCCAGCUCUUUGAAGAGCUCAUAACUGUGUAUAGAGCCUAUGCAUGAACAAGUGGUAUGCAUGCACACAGGCAGCAGACAAAGAGAUGUGUUUGGGCAUGAAAUGCCAAUCCAAGGCCUCACACGUAUGUGGUGUUGUUUAGUUGUGUCCG